Molecule: non-coding RNA, 2701 nt
Organism: Lactuca sativa (garden lettuce)
Lineage: Eukaryota; Viridiplantae; Streptophyta; Magnoliopsida; Asterales; Asteraceae
Source: RefSeq, a predicted model, not a curated record
AGAUUUUUUUUAAAGUUAACCGUUCAUACAAAAGCAAUUUCUUUACAGCAAGAGUGUUGUAAUCACUAAGCAAUCCCUUUAACUAAUUGUGAAGACCCAACUAAGCCUACCCCAUUCUUUUUCAUCAUUGAUCAUAUAAACAAUGCUAAAAGCAGUGUGCUUUGUGGGUUUAAUCAUACCGACGUAAAAGACCAUUCAUUCUUCUUUAAUUGUUGCAUGUGGAUUCGGUCGAGUACAUACAACUCAUAGUUUCCAUAUGCAAUUCUAAUUUCCGAUCUUGAUUGUAUGAUUAUUGGUUUCUUUAUUUCUUCGACUGAUUCGAUUUACUUCUGUCCUCCCAGUGACAGAAUCUUUGUGCGAGGUUUUGACGUUUUCAAUUUGUUGACUCGUUUGUUAAGUGGAGAUCUCAAUUCACUACAAUCUCAUCCUUGACUGCAAGAAGGAUUUUGCGAUUCAUGCUGAGCUUUUCUAGAGUUCAAUUGUUCAUUCCAUAUUUACAAUGCCAGCAGUAAGAUAUGAUUUGGGGAAAUUUGAGGAAGAGAAGAGAAGGAUUAGGGUUCGAUGUUUGAAGAAAAAAGCUCUGGUUGCUUCAUCAAGGUUGUCAAACUCCCUCAGAAAACGACGGGUUUCUAAUUGCCAAUUUGCACACAUUUCGAUUGAUGAUGUUCGAGAUGAGGAGGAAGAGAAGGCCGUUAAUGCAUUCCGGCAGGUCUUGAUUGAGAAAGAUUUGCUUCCAUUUUGUCAUGAUGAUUACCACACUUUAUUGAGAUUCUUGAAGGCAAGAAAGUUUGACCUUCAUAAAGCAGUCAACAUGUGGGCAGAUAUGCUCAACUGGCGAAAAGAAUAUGGUGCAGACUCCAUCACACAGGAUUUCAUUUAUGAAGAGUAUGAAGAGGUUCAAGGGUAUUAUCCUCAUGGUUAUCAUGGUGUGGAUAAAGAGGGAAGGCCUGUUUAUAUUGAAAGACUUGGAAAAGUGGAACCGAGUAAGCUUAUGAGUGUGACAACAGUGGAAAGGUUUUUAAGGUAUCAUGUACAAGGCUUUGAGAAAGCUUUUGCUGAAAAAUUUCCAGCAUGUUCUGUUUCAGCAAGAAGACAUAUCGAUUCUUUCACCACAAUAUUGGAUGUUCAUGGCAUGAACUGGAUGAGUUUUGGAAAAGUUGCAAAUGAUUUGGUCAUGCGUAUGCAGAAAAUAGAUGGUGACAACUAUCCUGAGACAUUGCAUCAGAUGUUCAUAGUAAAUGCUGGGAGUGGAUUUAAAUUACUAUGGAAUACAGCAAAAGGGUUUCUUGAUCCAAGAACAACAGCAAAAAUAAACGUUCUUGGUAAUAAAUAUCAGAAUAAGUUGUUGGAAGUUAUAGACUCAAGUCAAUUACCCGAUUUUCUUGGUGGGACAUGUUCAUGUCCAAAUGAAGGUGGAUGUCUUAGGUCAGAUAAAGGACCUUGGCAUGAUUUAGAACUCAUGAAGGUGGUCAACAAUGGAGAUUUGAGGAGAAGUUGUAGCUAUUAUGAGGAUGUUGACUUAGAGGUCAAGUCAAUUGUUUCAGAGACACCAAGCAGUAAAUUUUCAGAUGAUUUAGUAUCUAAUUCAGGAUUCGAUAGAUCAACGUCUCUUAGCCACAAGGACUAUAUAAAUAAUCUUGUAUCUAAUAGCCCUAGAUUUGAACGGAUAGUUUCUAGUACUCAGAUCGACAUUGUUCCUUCAACAGAUGAUUUGAUACAAAGAAGAAGCAUUAAAAAUGUGGUUGAUUUCACUUACAAAGUAGUAGGAUGUAUAUUUUUUCUUGUUGAAUUUGGGAAGUUUUUGGUGGGAUUUAUAAUAAAAAAAUGGUUCAAUUGGCAAGAUAAACAUAAACCACGGUAUGUGGAUGAUUUGAGUCCUCAAAAGGAGGACUUUUUGCAGCCAUUUGAAGAGAAGUUGAAACAAUUAGAAGAGUUGGUGUUAGUGCUUUCUAGCAAACCUUCUAAAAUUCCUCAAGAGAAAGAUGAAAUUCUUGUUGAAUCUUUGAAUCGUAUAAGGUCAAUGGAGUAUGACUUGCAAAAGACAAAGAAAGCCUUAUUUGCUACGGCUUCAAAACAGAUGGAGCUUGAGGAAUCACUCGAGACUUUACGAGAGGGUGCCAUAACAGCGGCAAACUCAUGUUGGGUAAGACGUCCCAAGUCAACUUUACGUGGAACAAGAUGAAGUUUGAAUUCUUGGCUUUUUACAUUUCAAUAUUUCGUUAAAUUUUAGACAAUUUCCACCAUGUUAUUGUUGGAGAUUCGUUGUAUUCAACCAUAAGGAGUGACAACUAAAACUCAAGGAUGUGCUCUUGAUGGUCUUCUGAAUGUGUAAGCGGCGUGGAUGCUUGUUGAUAGAUAGUUUACAUUGUGCAGGGAGUGAGAUAUAUAUAUAAUAGCUCCGUAUAGAAAAAUGAAAAAUAAGAAAACAAAAACAAUAGAAACGGGACGAUUUGUUGUAACUUGUAGUUUGGCUAUAGAUGUAUUUUUUUUUCUUGAAGUGGUUGUUAAUAUAUGUUAAUGGCUUCAAAUUGUUUGAUUUAUUGUGUAAAGGAUUGGUGGUUAAAGUUCACCAAAAGUCAGUCCUGUUAAUGCAGAAAAAUGUCAGCGACCUCUUUGUUGAUUUUGAAAACUUUGAACCCAUGUUGUUUAUCAAGUUACAGAUAAUGAUUAAUGGAUAAAUUUAAGGAAAGUACGUUACUUA